GGGGCUGACCGGUAUUGACAGUAAGUGUAAAGAUCGGGCUCGCAUGCAGGCUGGAGUAUGUACGGCCUUGAAAGAUUCAUAUGAACCAUAAAUGGCGAAACUUCUUACGCCAUGGCUGCCUAAUCUAACCUACUAGGAUAGAUUGCUUAAAGGGUUGAGUCCGCCGUGGCGGAUUCCCCGGCCACAUCUCACCACCUGUGGUCUGAUCCGGGUGGAGUUGAGGUGUCGAUCAGGUCAGACUGCUGCUUGCGAUGCGAUUAAGCAAGCUUAAGACUCAGUCGCUAAGCUAGACUCAGGUGUGUCACCCAGCAUAGUCUAGUCGAAAAACCAACAGGUGACUAAGCAUGUAGACGGUACGGUGUUUCCUUAUCUGGACGCGAGUUCGAAUCUCGCCAGCUCCACCA
Molecule: transfer-messenger RNA, 404 nt
Filed under: Cyclobacteriaceae
Lineage: Bacteria; Pseudomonadati; Bacteroidota; Cytophagia; Cytophagales
Description: Algoriphagus marincola_A Standard tmRNA
Rfam family: transfer-messenger RNA
About the family: Bacterial tmRNA, also known as 10Sa RNA or SsrA, is named for its dual tRNA and mRNA-like properties. Its role is to liberate the mRNA from a stalled ribosome. To accomplish this part of the tmRNA is used as a reading frame that ends in a translation stop signal.
Source: RNAcentral